CUGUGGGGGCGGGGCGUGAGGGGCGGGGCGUCAGGGGGCGGAAGUAGGAGCCUGCUUACGGGGGCCAGUCCGGGGCCAAAUUAACGUGCUGGGCGCGCGCGCCCGGUGGCGACAGUUCCCUGUGGCAACCGCCCUGUGUCCCGUUGCUACGGGCGCCAGAGGCCCGGAAGCGGCGACGGCGGACAGGCAGAUGUGGGGUCAUGCGCCGCUCCUGCUGAGGUGCUCACAGAAGGGAUCCCCCGACACCACCUCCCCACAGCAUGGUUUUCUUCUCUGAGGGUGUCCUCCAGCAGUGAAGACCAGGAGGAGAUAGCAAGAGGUCAGAGAUGCAAAUGGCAACAGCUGCCCCUCCCCCAUGGAGCAUGAGAACUGGAACAGAUGUGAGAGCUGGAGCCCACCCGCCCCUGCAGGAAGCACCCUCCUGAGCCCACCCACUCCUGCCACAUGGAUGCCUGCCUGCAGCAUGGGUCACAACCUCUUGCUUUCCUUGCCGCAACCAGAAGCAAGCACCGCACAGCCCUUUCUGAUUUUCAGGUGCACCUCAGGGUGCUUGUAGGUGCCUCGUGAAGUGGUGUGUGCCAAUCCCGCUGGCGUCAACCUGGGCCCUGGACCUAGUGUGGAGUCAGGCCAGCAUGCUAGGAGAUGGAGGAGCAGGGAUAGGGGGACACCAGGAGAGACUCUUCCUAGAGAUUGUUCCCAAAGACCCUUAAGAAUUUCCUGUAAAGAUGCAAAGGGCAGAGCUUUCCGGAAAGGCAUCCCUUGGCAUGGAGAUGGAAAAGGCCUCAUUUCCAGCAGUGAUGAGGCAAGCCUGAGCCUCUUCCAGCUGGAGGGCCAUGUGUCUUCAGAGCUCUGCCCUCUCUGGGGAUGUAGGCAUGUUCUGGGGGAAGGAGCUGUCACUCACCUUGUCUGUAGUGUGUGACUGAGCUGUUAGCCAGCAUUCUCAGGCCUCUGCUGCUGCUUGCAUGGCACUUCGUUAAUCAGACGGGGGUGCUCAGUGUGGAAGGGGGCCCUCUCUGUGGCACUGAUAUACUUGGACCUACAAGCACCUGGGGGUCUGGGUGGGGACAUGUGCCUGCCUAGGGGGCAUUCUGCCCCUUGGGGGCAGCAGGCCAAGUCCCAGGCCCAGAAAGAGUUCCCUCAAAGCUCAAAGCCUGUUCACAUCCACCAGCCUCAGGACAGAGCCAGCUGCUGAAGUCACAGGAGUCUCUGACCUUCUGGUCAGGGUGUCAGUAGAAACCUGCAGGGGCACACUCAGGUUUCCCCAGGCCUGACUUCAGGGAGAUGGGGGCACAUGGAGGAGAAACCCAUCAGCCACCUGGCAGUGCCCACCCUUGCCAAGUCUGGCCUGGCCAGGCCCUGACACCUGCGCCUUGGGCUGGGCCCACCCCCGAGUGUGCCACUGCAGGUUUCUACUGACGCCUGGGUUAAGGCUAUUUGUCCCAUCAGGAGGCAGCCAUCAGACGGCCGUUGGGGGUGCCUGCUGCCAGCAGAGGGCGCCGGGCCCCAGCCCUGAGCCCUGGGCAGAAAGCUGCGGUGGGGGCAGCCCUGCAGAGCCAGGCCUCUGUAGCCAUCGCUCCAGCAACUGCCCACUCCGAACUGUGGCCUUCCAGCCCACAGAAACAGCCUGAGUACUCUGAAGAGGGGGUUCACGGGGAGGCCCUUGAUGGCAUGGUGGUCUGAGUCCCAGCGUGGGGUGGGGGGACGCUCCUCUCCUUUCCCGCACGAGCCUGCCCCCACCCCGUUGGCCUUCCAUCGAGGACUUUUUAUGGGGCUGGCAUGUUUCGACGAGAAGUAAAGCACUCUAGAACACUG
Manis javanica (Malayan pangolin) is the source of this 1812-nucleotide long non-coding RNA. RefSeq lists it as uncharacterized. NCBI's taxonomy places the organism in Eukaryota, Metazoa, Chordata, Mammalia, Pholidota, Manidae. The record is from RefSeq and is a predicted model, not a curated record.